UGGGGAAUUUUGGUACAAUGGGCGCGAAGCCUGAUCCAGCUAUUCCGCGUGUGGGAUGAAGGCCCUCGGUUGUAAACCACUUUUGUAGAGAACGAAAAGACACCUUUUAAUAAAGGGUGUUGCUGACGGUACUCUAAGAAUAAGCACCGGCUAACUACGUGCC
Molecule: ribosomal RNA, 163 nt
Filed under: uncultured bacterium
Lineage: Bacteria
Description: partial 16S ribosomal RNA
Rfam family: Bacterial small subunit ribosomal RNA
Source: RNAcentral